This 301-nucleotide ribosomal RNA is filed under the name uncultured bacterium. RNAcentral's name for it is "partial 16S ribosomal RNA". It matches the Rfam family "Bacterial small subunit ribosomal RNA", at positions 509 to 808 of the family's 1533-position model. The record is from RNAcentral.
CAGUAGCCGCGGGAAAACGAACCGUGCAAACGUUACUCGGAAUCACUGGGCUUAAAGCGCACGUAGGCGGCGACAUAAGUUAGAGGUGAAAUCCCAUCGGCUCAACCGUGGAACUGCCUCUAACACUGUGUUGCUUGAGGGAGAACGGGGCAUUCGGAACUUCCGGUGGAGCGGUGAAAUGUGUUGAUAUCGGAAGGAACGCCGGUGGCGAAAGCGGAAUGCUGGGUCUCUUCUGACGCUGAGGUGCGAAAGCUAGGGUAGCGAACGGGAUUAGAUACCCCCGUAGUCCCUGUCUCUUAUA